UUAACAUGUUUAAAGAUUACGGCACAUGGCCUUCUCAGACAGUAAGUUAAUGUAAAGUUUAAUAAUUGGCCCUUCCCCAGGCACCUCAACCAAGUAACCGAAUAACAGCCUGGCUGGCAGCAGUGGCCACUGGCCUGGGGAAGCAACAUGGCAGAGUACUCAUGGAUGUGUUUUAUUGGGAGCCAGUGUCAAGCAACCCAAAUAUUGAUAAUGAUCCUUCCGCAGGUUCACCUACGGAAA
Molecule: unclassified non-coding RNA, 240 nt
Filed under: uncultured fungus
Lineage: Eukaryota; Fungi
Description: sequence contains ITS1
Source: RNAcentral